GUCAGUGACAUGUCUAGUCUCUUUAGCCAUAAGAGUUCAUUUUCAAUGCAAGACUUUAAUUAUUUUGAAAUAUUUGUCGGGUAGAAACAAGAAGAAGAAAAGAAGUUGAAAGGCGGAGAAGAGAAAAAGAGGAACGAGACAGAGACGGACACCAUCGAGAUCGUCAUCGAGACCGAGACAGGGAUCGAGAUAGAGACCGUGAUCGUGACCGAGACAGGGACCGCGAUAGAGACCGCGAUCGUGACCGAGAUCGUGAUCGUGACGCAAGAUCUAUCUCUCCAUCUGAAAAUGGAAGGACUAGACGGAGUCAUCGAAAUUCCCGCACUCCGGAUUCAAGUAGUUCUGCACGGAGCAUCUCACCAGAUGAUCGCCGCCACCGUUCUAAGUCUAUUAAGCGCUCGCGCUCGAAAUCACGUGACCGAGAACGAGAUCGUGAUAGAGAGCGUGAACGAGAAAAAGAACGAGAAAGAGAGCGUGAACGUGAGCGAGAACGCGAACGCGAGAAAGAACGAGAGCGGGAGAAAGAGCGCGAAAAAGAGCGGGAUCGCGAGAGAGAGCGCGAGCGAGAAAGAGAGCGCGAGCGAGAACGUGAAAGAGAAAGAGAGAGGGAACGGGACCGUGACCGAGAGCGAGAGAGGGAGAGGGAUCGAGACCGUGAUAGAGAAGAUCGUGAAAGAAAAUCGGAGCGUGAUAUUCUCAGGGAGAAGGAAAUGGAUGAAGAGGCAAAGGAAAAGAAGAAACUGGAACGGAAAGCUCGUGAAAAGGAAGCUGCCUACCAAGAAAGACUGCGUAUGUGGGAAAAUAGAGAAGGCAUAA
Molecule: long non-coding RNA, 816 nt
Filed under: Bemisia tabaci
Lineage: Eukaryota; Metazoa; Arthropoda; Insecta; Hemiptera; Aleyrodidae
Description: lncRNA ENSSSA3NGG001069
Source: RNAcentral